Molecule: long non-coding RNA, 463 nt
Filed under: Mus spretus (western wild mouse)
Lineage: Eukaryota; Metazoa; Chordata; Mammalia; Rodentia; Muridae
Description: lncRNA (ENSMSPG00010047002.1)
Source: RNAcentral
AGGCUGGGAGAUGCCGCUGGCUGGCGUGGUAGCAACAACCUUUGCCAGGCUGCCUCGCCCACUUGCCUGGGUCCUUUGCUGCUGUGAUUGCCGUUAAUGUUCGUUCGGGAAAAGCCUGGGAACACUUGGGUGGAUUGUCUCCAUGGUGCAGGUGACAGAGUGGCUUGCUCAAGAGCACAGCAUUUUGGAGAGCCAGCCUAUAUUUGAGAAGUGAAAAAGAACAUUCGAACCCUCGACUCACAUGAUUCUGUAGCAUUUUCUGAGUCAAGAGAGAACUGAGGGCUGGAGAGAUGGCUCAGCGGUUAGGAGCACUGACUGCUCUUCCAGAGGUCCUGAGUUCAAUUCCCCGAAACCACUUGGUGGCUCACAACCAUCUGUAAUGGGAUCUGAUGCCCUCUUCUGGUGUGUCUGAAGACAGCGACAGUGUACUCAUAUAAAUAAAAUAAAUAAAUAUAAAUAAAAA